GACGAACCGAGCGACCGUUGUUCGGAAUCACUGGGCUUAAAGGGCGCGUAGGCGGGUCUUCAAGUCUAUGGUGAAAUCCGGCAGCUCAACUGUCGAAUUGCCGUGGAUACUGGGUAUCUCGAGGGAGGUAGGGGCGUGCGGAACUAAUGGUGGAGCGGUGAAAUGCGUUGAUAUCCUUAGGAACGCCGGUGGCGAAGGCGGCACGCUGGACCUCUUCUGACGCUGAGGCGCGAAAGCCAGGGGAGCAAACGGG
Molecule: ribosomal RNA, 253 nt
Filed under: uncultured bacterium
Lineage: Bacteria
Description: partial 16S ribosomal RNA
Rfam family: Bacterial small subunit ribosomal RNA
Source: RNAcentral